This 272-nucleotide ribosomal RNA is filed under the name uncultured bacterium. RNAcentral's name for it is "partial small subunit ribosomal RNA". It matches the Rfam family "Bacterial small subunit ribosomal RNA", at positions 26 to 285 of the family's 1533-position model. The record is from RNAcentral.
AGAAUCAACGCUGGCGGCGUGCCUAACACAUGCAAGUCGAACGCGAAAGUCCCGAAAGGGAUCAGUAGAGUGGCAAACGGGUGAGUAACACGUGGGUGACCUGCCUUCGAGCGGGGGAUAACGGUCCCGAAAGGGACGCUAAUACCGCAUGACAUCCUGUUUUUAACAGAUGGAGAUCAGAGCCGGGAUCGCAAGACCUGGCGCUUGGAGACGGGGCCCGCGUCCGAUUAGCUAGUUGGUGAGGUAAUGGCUCACCAAGGCGACGAUCGGUA